GGCUCAGAUUGAACGCUGGCGGCAUGCUUUACACAUGCAAGUCGAACGGUAACAGGUCUUCGGAUGCUGACGAGUGGCGAACGGGUGAGUAAUGCAUCGGAACGUGCCCAGUCGUGGGGGAUAACGCAGCGAAAGCUGCGCUAAUACCGCAUACGAUCUGAGGAUGAAAGCGGGGGACCGUAAGGCCUCGCGCGAUCGGAGCGGCCGAUGUCAGAUUAGGUAGUUGGUGGGGUAAAGGCUCACCAAGCCGACGAUCUGUAGCUGGUCUGAGAGGACGACCAGCCACACUGGGACUGAGACACGGCCCAGACUCCUACGGGAGGCAGCAGUGGGGAAUUUUGGACAAUGGGCGCAAGCCUGAUCCAGCAAUGCCGCGUGCAGGAAGAAGGCCUUCGGGUUGUAAACUGCUUUUGUACGGAGCGAAAAGGCCCUCUCUAAUACAGGGGGUUCAUGACGGUACCGUAAGAAUAAGCACCGGCUAACUACGUG
This 489-nucleotide ribosomal RNA is filed under the name uncultured bacterium. RNAcentral describes it as "bacterial SSU rRNA". It matches the Rfam family "Bacterial small subunit ribosomal RNA", at positions 21 to 507 of the family's 1533-position model. The record is from RNAcentral.